This 460-nucleotide ribosomal RNA is filed under the name uncultured bacterium. Its description in RNAcentral is "partial 16S ribosomal RNA". It matches the Rfam family "Bacterial small subunit ribosomal RNA", at positions 338 to 795 of the family's 1533-position model. The record is from RNAcentral.
CCUACGGGGGGCAGCAGUGAGGAAUAUUGGUCAAUGGACGAGAGUCUGAACCAGCCAAGUAGCGUGAAGGAUGACUGCCCUAUGGGUUGUAAACUUCUUUUAUCUGGGAAUAAAAUGUUCCACGUGUGGGAUUUUGUAUGUACCAUAUGAAAAAGGAUCGGCUAACUCCGUGCCAGCAGCCGCGGUAAUACGGAGGAUCCGAGCGUUAUCCGGAUUUAUUGGGUUUAAAGGGAGCGUAGGUGGAUUGUUAAGUCAGUUGUGAAAGUUUGCGGCUCAACCGUAAAAUUGCAGUUGAAACUGGCAGUCUUGAGUACAGUAGAGGUGGGCGGAAUUCGUGGUGUAGCGGUGAAAUGCUUAGAUAUCACGAAGAACUCCGAUUGCGAAGGCAGCUCGCUGGACUGCAACUGACACUGAGGCUCGAAAGUGUGGGUAUCAAACAGGAUUAGAUACCCGGGUAGUC